CAGCAGCCGCGGUAAUACGUAGGUGGCAAGCGUUGUCCGGAAUUAUUGGGCGUAAAGCGCGCGCAGGCGGAUAGGUCAGUCUGUCUUAAAAGUUCGGGGCUUAACCCCGUGAUGGGAUGGAAACUGCCAAUCUAGAGUAUCGGAGAGGAAAGUGGAAUUCCUAGUGUAGCGGUGAAAUGCGUAGAUAUUAGGAAGAACACCAGUGGCGAAGGCGACUUUCUGGACGAAAACUGACGCUGAGGCGCGAAAGCCAGGGGAGCGAACGGGAUUAGAGACCCGAGUAGUCCCUGUCUCUUAUACA
RNAcentral lists this ribosomal RNA (301 nucleotides) under uncultured bacterium. Its description in RNAcentral is "partial 16S ribosomal RNA". It matches the Rfam family "Bacterial small subunit ribosomal RNA", at positions 509 to 809 of the family's 1533-position model. The record is from RNAcentral.